Molecule: ribosomal RNA, 459 nt
Filed under: uncultured bacterium
Lineage: Bacteria
Description: SSU rRNA
Rfam family: Bacterial small subunit ribosomal RNA
Source: RNAcentral
AGAAUCAACGCUGGCGGCGUGCCUAACACAUGCAAGUCGAACGAGAAAGUGGAGCAAUCCAUUAGUAAAGUGGCGCACGGGUGAGUAACACGUGACUAACCUACCCUUGAGUGGGGGAUAACCUAGAGAAAUCUGGGCUAAUACCGCAUAAUACCUUCGGGUCAAAGGAGCAAUUCGCUUAAGGAGGGGUCGCGGCCGAUUAGUUAGUUGGCGGGGUAAUGGCCCACCAAGACUAUGAUCGGUAUCCGGCCUGAGAGGGCGCACGGACACACUGGAACUGAAACACGGUCCAGACUCCUACGGGAGGCAGCAGUGGGGAAUUUGCGCAAUGGGGGAAACCCUGACGCAGCAACGCCGCGUGGAGGAUGAAGCCCCUUGGGGCGUAAACUCCUUUCGAUCGGGACGAUAAUGACGGUACCGAGAGAAGAAAGCCCCGGCUAACUUCGUGCCAGCAGCCGC